AAUGUUAAUUUUUAAACCUAUUUAACAAUCCUUCUUGAAAACGUUCCCCUCCUUCCUCAUUCGUGUGCAAAUUGCACUGGCCAGUGGCCGGACAUUUUCUAUCAACCUUUCAAUUCCUCUAUUAAACCGAUCACUGCUUACCUUCCUCGAAUCACAAAAGCCCAGGAAUCAACGACCUCAAAUCCUCGUCAGCCCAAGCCGGAUCACGUAGGACCCGGCGAGAGUGAGGGAUAGCUCGCCGAUGAAGAAGCUUGCCUUUUUUCUCAUUCCAGUGCCAAAGUUAUAGCUUCACGAGGAACCGUGAUUUCCGUAGGGAAAGCUUUGGGGUAUUAGAUUUUGACUGGAUGAAACAAGUGUAGAACAACAGUAUCGGUGUUAGAGUUCUAAUUUAUGAUUAGAGGGAUAUAACUAAGGUUUAUACACUCACUUUUGUAUUUGUUAUUGUGUGGCUGUGCACACAGAUCAGCGUGUGGCCACCCACUAGUGACUAUACUGUGUUAAUAGAUUAUGCAAUUUAGACUAAUUUAAAUUGUGGAUUUGUUGAAGACUUGGAUUUGAAUGAUGUACUUAAUUGAUAUUAUUAAGUCUAUAUGAAUUUGGAUGUAAGUAGAAUAGUAUAUUAGAGAACAGGUUUCAAAUCGAGCACCAGGGAUUGGGGAUGAGGGUUGGAGGCUGAAAGAUUUGAUUAAUGAUUUAAAUUAUAAGUGUAAUCACCAAGUGAAUAAAGGCAGAUUUGAGGCUCGAUUAUGGCUUGCCUCAGGACGCACAACUUUGAUUGUGAUCUUAGACUCUAACUUUAGCAAGCAAUGCAUAUCACCUGAACAUUCUAGUCCCAUAAGACCAAACUAAGACUGUUGGUUUGGAUUGUGGCAGACAGCAUAAAAGAACUCAAGCUCCCAUAUGGACCUUAAAAAAAUUUUGGCUUUUGAAAUAUUAUCUGCUAGUUAAAGCUUUUGGUUUAAGAUAUCCUGAUAACUAUAUAAGAUCGAAAAAUACAAUCUACCAUAAGUUUUAAACCAAUAAGUACUGAACUAUGAUCAUGCAUGACGUGCUUGCUUGGACACAUUCUUAUGUAAAAAGGCAGUGUUCAUUUACUGUGGAUUUUUCUGAGUAUGAUUUGCUAAUUGAGUAGUCACAGCUAUGGACAAAAAGGAUUAGCACAGACUUGCCGUACUCUACCUCUUCUUUCUAAAAACUUUCAUGUUGUAAAUAUCAAUAUGUCUGGUUAUUCUCUUUUCAAUUUUAACCACAGGAUAUGUAGACCACAAUGAUGUCUUCAAGUUAGGUACUGGCACUGCAUCCAUAUGUGGCUUUCUGAGGUUUGAAUUUUCUGGUGGAAGUCUUUUGGCAACUGUUGGCUCCAACUGAGUAAGUCAAUGAUCUUUUUUAUUCUGUCCUGGGAAAUCCUACUAUCACUAUUAUAUUUGAACUUGCCAUUGUCUCUUGGAAUAAUGAAAAUAAAUAUUCUUGUGUGACUAACCUCAUGGUCACUUAAAAAAAACAUAUGGUCACGCACACAUGAAUCGGGACUAAAUAUGUUCUUGGGAAGUAAUUUUCUCGCUCCUUGGAUUUUUUGUUAGGUUGUGCCACUUAUAGCAUUGUUUCCCUUCCAUUAGCAUUGCCUGAUCGUGAAUGCAUGCUCAUUUUAUAAUUUCUUCAUUCAGUUAACUUAAACAUGUUUAAAUGGGUUUGUCACUCUUUUUUUUUUUACUUGCACCGGGAGAAAAGGUUACCAUAUCAAUCCCCUCCCUGGCCAGAGAGCCUCCAAGACAAGGGGGCGGCGGUAAACCAUCCACUCUCGAGAUUCAUAUUGAUCAAUCGAUCUUUGCAUCCUGCCAAUAUUUUCAGUCAUCAAUAUCAUACAUGUGCGAAAUAUUUUAUACGAUUUCACCUAUAUUACUCCCAGCUUCUCCAUAGAACUUGCUUAUAUAUAAAAUCAGAUAUUUGCUUACCCAUGAGUGUAGACUUCAUUCAAGAAUUUGAUCUAGCUUCCAAUUUUACUCCUUGUGUUUUACUUUGCUACUUCUUCUUCUUCUUCUUCUUUUUGCCUUUUUUCAUUAUGUUUUAGACAUUUGGGUAACAUAUCAAAUAUGUUUUAGACAUAUGGGUAUAUCAGAAAAAAUACAAAUGUUCUGGCCUAAACUUGCCAACUAAAUUUAUUGCACAAUUUGCCUGCCAAAAUAUGCCAGCCACCUUGUGCUUUGGCUUCCCAGUAUUGCCAGUUCUAUUUCCAAAUUUCAGGCGUAUAAUUUCUAAGUUGGCACCUAUAUGUAUUAUGAUGUGAUUAGGCCACCAGGCCUUAAUCUUGUCCCUUCAUCUUUUUGUUACAAGCUCAAUAUUUGGUCUAAUGGUUCUCAUUUCAUCUUGCCAGGAAUAGUUUUAUUAGUGCUAAUAUCAUAUUGAAUCAUCUUUUUCAGCACUGAUGAAAUGGUUUGUAUCAUUUUGAUGUUUAAACAAGUUCAGUUAAGCUCAAACUGAGAGUGAAAGUUUGACUUCGAUAGUUUUCCUUUCAAUCUUGCUAUUGGUCAUGCUCCAUUAUGUCAUGUUCUAGAAUUCAGUUAUUUAUAAUCUUGGCCAAAUACUUGUGUCCAAUGUGCUCACUUAAUCAUCAGUUUCCAUAUUAUAAACCUUGAGAUCUCAGUGAGCAUGAGACAUUUAAAGAUUCAUUAGGCACAAGCUACCUGCCAUGACUUGUUUCUAAGAGUUCCCAACUUAUCACCCCUUUUUCUUAAACAACGUUUAGAAGUCGUUUACUAUGGCUUUACUUGCUUUCAUUCUUGUAAUGGCCCAUAAUGAUUAUAAAAGGUUCCAUGGGAUUUUUACAAGGCCAGUAUUAAUAUCAAGGCUUCAUUAAGCACCAUGCCCAAACUUGGGGCAUCACAGAUGUGCUUGACUUUUGGUAGUCGAGUAGCUUUAACCUUCUUAUGGUGUGGUAGUCUUGUAGCAUCAUUGUUAGUGAGGGUACAAGGUGCCUUGCUGCCCUACAGUGUUUUUCAGAAUAAGAAGUGAAGUGCGAGUCUUAAAGGGCAUGCUUUGAAAGUAUGAUAAAUGAAUCUAAUAGCAACAGCGCUUGAACAAAGCUGGUGCACAUAAAAGGCAGAGAGAGCUAGAGGAUUAUAGAUGCAUGACAUCAAAUCCAACUAUUCAAAGACAUGGCUUCAAAAAACAUACUCAAAAUUAAAAAGCAUGCAUGCAUUAUAAAAUAAAAAUAAAAAAUGAAUACUCCUAGCAUGUGAAAUUCAAAAUAGUAAUGCAGUUGGAAGAAAGGAAUGGAGGUAGUUUGCAAUUACUCUUUCAUCUACUUUAAGGUGGAAAUAAGUUAGGGUCUUUAUUUGUGUACUAUAAGUGCAUUUUCUUAUAUUUUUCGUUUAAAACCUAAAAAAGACGGAUGUUGUAAGCUUGCAUGUAAUGCACACCAAAAUAACAUAGUAAGAAAUACUUGACAUGGCUAUAAAAAUAAAAUAAAAUAAAAUAAAAAUUAAAAAAAAAAAAAAAACCUAGGGAAUAUUACACUUUACUCCACUAAAUCUUCAAUCCCCCCCCCCCCCCACCCAAAAAAAAAUUCUACCAUUCUUUUUUAAUUUGCUCUCUCCUUUAAGAUCCAAUCCUUAAAAUCAUGCCACAUCACCUAUUUUCAUCUACCUUAAUGAACAAGUCUUAUUGGGGGAGUAAAUUGCACCGUAGGUCUCAAAAUGAGAGCUCUGCUAACAACUUUGGCGGUCAUAUUGGAAAAUGAGAGGUAAUUUACAGUUAUCAAGUGCAAUUUUCCCAAGAAAUCAUGAAGUAUCAAUUGAUAUAACAUUGUAACUAAGCAUGCUCUUUUGUGACUUGUUCUUCCUGAAAAAGCGUUUGCUUUUCCAACAAGCUGGACCUGAUUAAAGAUGCUUUGCCUGGCACUCAAAGUGCUUCAUGUCCACUUAGAUGCACUCUGCACAAGUACGACUAGGCAUGCUUUUAGUGACCCGGUAGAUGUAAUCAAGAUGGAACACAACAAAUGUGGACAGUGGUAAAACUGGCAAUCUAUUUAGGUAUUAGAUGUUAGUAAUAUGCUCUUCGUGUACGUAUGAGAAUUUCUUCGACUAAAAUAUGAGGCCAUGCAUGUUAUUGACAUAGAAAACAUGGCGAUUUUUUUCACUCUUGUAUGGUUAAGAGGGUUGGUUUUUGUGUGCUUACAUGAAUCUUGUUUUCCGUAAGUGGGGUUUUUGUUUUUAUUGCAAGAUAUAUUGAUGCUAUCAAAAAGGUUUUAGAGGUACCUUUCUCUUUCCUUUUUUCUUUUGAAAAAGAAAAGAAAAUAAAAUCAUGGGAAAGUUCAUUUGCAACUGAGUAUGCUCCAUGCUACUUUAACUGCUUUCUCAGUACUUGAAAAAAUGUCAUUUUGGUUGUCAGUUGUCACCUUUUUCUUUGGCAUGUUCUGUACGCACAAUUAUUUUCAUGGUUGUUGCAAAUGCUGAAGACCAAAUUGUUAGCAGUAGCUGUUUGUCACAGGAACGUAGUUUAAAUUUCCUAUAUCUUUAAGGUCAGGGUUUCUGUCAGGUAUGUAGUCCUUUAGUUUUAACCUUUUUUCCAUCUUCAUUCCAAGAUAUUCUUCUGAGAAAUUUAAUUCCGACUGUAAACACAAAAAGCAACAGCACUGAAAGUAAAAAUGAAAGAAAUUAGUUUGUAGAACACAAGCACGGACACCGGAUAUACCUUGUCAUUUUGAGAUAUAUAAUUGCGCCAGGAAGAAGAAACAUGUAGCUGUGUAGUUGUGGCAUGAUAUAUAUAUGUAUAUGUAUGUAUAUAUAUGUGAUGAUUCCACGAACUGGUGGCUUGAGUAUAGUGCAGAUGAUAUUAGUUCAUUGCAUGUGGGUUGAUGGAGCAACAGGCUUGUUGAUUUGCUGCAUUCUAGUUUCCCAUAAACGAUCAAUUUUGGACUGGUGUCGCGAAUGAAUGGCAAAUGAUAGAUGUCUUUUCAGAGGUGGAUAAAAGUUCAAACUAUUUUGUCUUUAUUAUCUUUGGACAACGGAAAUGAUGGCGCCAAUGGCAGGAGGUGGAUGCUUUCUGCAGGUUAAAGUUGCCAUGAAUAGAAAGUGGAGCAGAAAGAUGGACUGAAGUUCGAUAUUAGAUCUAGACGCAACUUAUAGUCUCUUGUGAAUGCCUCUUGAGAUGGCGAAGAUAAACUAGGAGUUAGUUCAUGUAUUGAACAUUAAAAAGGAGAUUUAACUUCUCUAAAGCACCAUAAGCUCAUUUAAGCUAAGAAUGGGUUUUUUCCCCGUCUCAAUGGAAAACCAAAAUUUCGCCCCACAAGAAUUUCUAACCUAUGCUUUGGUUGGAAGAUUCAGAAAAUAAAUCUUACGACAGUUGACAUAAAUAUUGUACAUCCAAGAGUUCAAUAUUUUUAUAUCAAGGAAGUUCAUCUCCCUUUUAUUUUUUAUUAA
This is a long non-coding RNA of Carya illinoinensis, 5417 nucleotides long. RefSeq lists it as uncharacterized. NCBI's taxonomy places the organism in Eukaryota, Viridiplantae, Streptophyta, Magnoliopsida, Fagales, Juglandaceae. The record is from RefSeq and is a predicted model, not a curated record. The transcript has 2 exons.